RNAcentral lists this long non-coding RNA (306 nucleotides) under Capsella rubella. Its description in RNAcentral is "long non-coding RNA (CRUB_LNC003531)". The record is from RNAcentral. Lineage: Eukaryota; Viridiplantae; Streptophyta; Magnoliopsida; Brassicales; Brassicaceae.
AUCUUAGGACUAUUCUCUUUUUAGGAACAAAGGGAAUAUAGUGUUUGUUUCUUUUUCCGCAUCGUUGAUUGUUUUAUGUUAUGCUGCUAUAUUCUUUCGAACAGAUUUGUAAAUCUGACCUAAAAAGAGAUAAUAAUAAGUAACAAAAUUACUUCCUUACUUCCAAAAAAAAAAAACCAAGUACUUUGGAAUAAUUUAGGAUUAAUCCAGUUUCAGAAAUUGACCCCAUAUGCCAGGUCCAUCGAAUUAUACUAAUUGUGAUGGAACUGUUCUUCCUUCGACGUUUACUUGAUAAUAUAUAAGUUG